This 317-nucleotide long non-coding RNA is filed under the name Ananas comosus (pineapple). RNAcentral's name for it is "long non-coding RNA (ACOM_LNC007564)". Lineage: Eukaryota; Viridiplantae; Streptophyta; Magnoliopsida; Poales; Bromeliaceae. The record is from RNAcentral.
AUUGAUUUGGAUAUCUUUACACCGUUAAACGAGAAAACGUCUCUUAUCCACCAUUAAAAUUACAAAGUUUGAAACCUUUUGAUCAUUAGGCAAAUGAUAUUGAAAAGAUUUGAAAUUUGAUUUCUAAAGACUUCAAGUGGUAUAGAUCAUAUUCAACGGAGCCGAUCGUCAAUUUGGAAGCUCUAUCAUCGAAAACAACUCGAUAGUAAAAUGUUCCGUUUACUAUCGAGAGUAUUCUAGCUCAACUCUAUAUAUAUAUAUAUAUAUAUAUAUAUUAAAUUUUGUUGCAUCUCUAAUUAAACAAAUUGAAAAAUUAG